CUUAGCUCAGCUGGUAGAGCAAAUGACUCUUAAUCAUUGGGUCAAAGGUUCGAAUCCUUUAG
Molecule: transfer RNA, 62 nt
Filed under: bovine gut metagenome
Also listed under: 1 other name
Rfam family: tRNA
About the family: Transfer RNA (tRNA) molecules are approximately 80 nucleotides in length.
Source: RNAcentral